UACGUAGGGUGCAGGCGUUAAUCGGAAUUACUGGGCGUAAAGCGUGCGCAGGCGGUUUGCUAAGACAGGUGUGAAAUCCCCGGGCUUAACCUGGGAACUGCGCUUGUAACUGGCAAGCUGGAGUGUGGCAGAGGGGGGUGGAAUUCCACGUGUAGCAGUGAAAUGCGUAGAUAUGCGGAGGAACACCGAUGGCGAAGGCAGUCCCCUGGGCCUGUACUGACGCUCAUGCACGAAAGCGUGGGGAGCAAACAGG
Molecule: ribosomal RNA, 253 nt
Filed under: uncultured bacterium
Lineage: Bacteria
Description: partial 16S ribosomal RNA
Rfam family: Bacterial small subunit ribosomal RNA
Source: RNAcentral